AAACAAACAAACAAACAAACAAACAAACAAACACAAAGCAUACAGUAGCAGAUACAUGCAGGCAGACCCCGGUAGUCACGGACAGAUCCUGGUUUCAUCCCGAUAAGCUGUUAGCCGAGGAUGGAAUCUCCGGUUGGUUUUUUACUAGUCUGAUCAACUGUCAGAGAAAUGGACAGAGACGACUUAGAUGGCGAGCCCAGCCCAGUGAGUCCGAGAGAGAGAGAGAGAGAGCUGGAGAUGCUGUGUGGCCACCUGCAGAAUCUACUUUGAAGACUCCAGAUCAUCUGAAUCACUCAUUCUGAAGACAGAUAAGAUACACUCACUCACUCACUCCUCACCGAACCGGGUAGUAGACGUAGAAAUUGAGUGGACAUAAAUAUAGAAUACACACACACACACACACACACAUUGGGGAUCCCUCUUUUCUUUGAUUUAUGUUUCUUUUAUUUUGUGGCGCCUUAUUUUUUGCAAUUAAAUGCAUAACAGCUGUCACUGUUAAUGAAUGAAAGUGUCACCUGUUCAAAUCAUAGUAGCACCCACUCAAAUUCUAAUAGAAACAGUUCAAAAUCUUGAGGACUUCCAAGUGUGUUGUAGCUGCAAAAGGGGAACCAACUCUAUAUUAAAGUACUGUAUAUGUGUUUUAAUAUGUCAUUACAGUCCCUGUUGGUGUAAUGGUCAAGUGUCUAAAUACUUUUGUCCAUGUAGUGUAUCAACAAACAUUGAAUACAAUAUUUAAAAUGUUGUUUUCACUCAUUUAUCAGCUGAAAAUUAAGAAUUGUCCUGUUUUUGUUACCUUAGAAUGGACUCUUUAGAUCAGUGGUUCCCAAAAAAUAAUCAGUGACUAGUCGAUUAUUGAAAUAAUGGUUUGUGGCAGCCCUAGUAGAUAUUGAACACAUACUAGCCAUAAGUAUGUUUGUAAGUGUAUAAUCACUUUAGAAUAAGAAUAGUUUGUUUAUUAUAACCUUGAAAUAAGCCUCUCUUAACAGAGGCCAAACCAAAGUAUUUCACUUUCAGCGGUGUUAAUUAACCCCACUCUGUAACUAUCAUACGAUUUGUAUUUAAAAUAUUACAAUUGUUCAUAUAGAUUGUGAGAACAUGUUAUAUUUUUUGUACAAACAUACUGGUUUAAUGAAGAAAACAUAGUCAGACCUUAUCUGAGUAUUGCCACAAACCCCCAAUGAUGCUAUUUCUGAAGAAAAGUUGAAUAUGACAUUAUCUUUUAAUGUUGUAUCAGUGUCCAUGUUCCUUUCAUAUUGACAGAUAUCCUUUCACAGACUUCUCUUGUUUUGCCGAUGGUCCAGUGCAGUCUUACUUUUGCACCGUUUUUUUUUGUUGAGGUCAGACAAACCUCAUACAAUUGUGGAGAAAGAGUCCCUUCUGCUAAGAAAAUUGACCUGAGGGCAGUUGACACAGCACCUGCAGGUUAAUAAGCACUUACCCUCCAAAUCACUCUGUAGAGUAGUGCUAGAGAAUAAACAUUUUUGAGAGAUCCGGAGAUGACCUUGGAAAUUCUGAGUUGUUACAAUACAAAUGAAACUCACCAUAAGACCUUCAGCGAUGUAGGCACUCUGCAUCCAGUGUGGCCCCAAUUAACUGAUAUGGCUGGCUGAAUGCCGGUAUUGUGCAGCAGUUAAAAUUAGGGCAUUAUUUUAUUGAUAAAAAAUAAUAUGAUUCUUUUUAAUUAAUUGAUUCACUAAGUUCCUUCCCAUAACGAAAAUGGCACGAAAAGUCUAAGGCCAUGUUUAGAAAGUAGCCCAAAUCAGAUUUGUAAGCAUAUCCAAUUAGAAACAGAUUUUCCUGUCCAACUCUUCACAUUAUCAUCUUGUGUACUCCUCCUGCCAGUCCCAAGUCCAGAUAAAUGGACAAAUCAAAUCAAAUAUGCAUUUCAUCUGCUGUAGCGACCCCUAGACAGAAGAACAAAUAAUGGUUGUGCUCAUAUAGUAAUGAUGAGCUGUCUUCCCAUCUUAAUAUAUAUUAACAUAACCAUAAACAAGGAUUCCAUGUACAAAAACUCCUGGAUGCAGACAGACCAUGCAUUUACUUGAUAAUUUUUCCCUGUUCCAUUAUAUCAAGAUAAGGCUGUGGCUAAUGAUUAUUAUACGUAAUAGAAUAAUCUGUCGAUUAUUUUCUGAGUAUUUAUUUCCCCAUAAAAUACCAAGAAAUGUUGUACUCAAAUGUCUUGUUUUGUCAGUCGUUAAUGAUUUUUUUGUUAGAUAGAGCAAAGAAAAGGAACAUUUUCACAUUUAAGAAGCUGGAAAAACCAAAAAAACACACAAUUAAAUAGUGAUGAUCAUUGCAAUCCUAUAUGAUAUACAGUGUCGUAAAUUAAAUUGUAUUGCAAUGAAUAGCACACAGCACAUAUCCCAGAAUCACGGCAUCAUCGACAAAAUUGUAUUGUAUUGAGUCGUGUGUCCUCCUAUUUGGUGCUAUGGAAAUGGCCACCAUACCUAUGAGGUCUAUAUACAAAGCAAGUCUGGAUGUUAUGUUCGAUGCCAAACCCUCCCUGAGACGUUCAGUCUAAACCUAAGAUUUGAAUUCUAAAUAAUUAUAACUAAAGCCCUAUUUGAUGGGAUUAGUUUUACAUGGAGAGGUUGUGUAAAGUAAUUACCAGAGCUUCUAAAAGAGCUUAUUUUAGUCCCAUCCAAAUGUUUCAUGUCUGUAAUCAUUACCG
Solea solea (common sole) is the source of this 2671-nucleotide long non-coding RNA. RefSeq lists it as uncharacterized. The record is from RefSeq and is a predicted model, not a curated record. The transcript has 2 exons. Lineage: Eukaryota; Metazoa; Chordata; Actinopteri; Pleuronectiformes; Soleidae.